RNAcentral lists this long non-coding RNA (269 nucleotides) under Rattus norvegicus (Norway rat). Its description in RNAcentral is "long non-coding RNA NONRATT004206". The record is from RNAcentral. Lineage: Eukaryota; Metazoa; Chordata; Mammalia; Rodentia; Muridae.
AAAAUCCAGGAAUAUUUUGCCUUUGAAUAGUAUGAUACCCAAAGAGGCAUUAAUGGACGUCUGACCUGGAUCCACUAUUUUUGAUGAACCUUUGCAUGACGACUUGGACACUGGACUGCCCCGGUAACCCUCAGAGCUGCUCAGUCCCUGAACUAGUGCUACCACAAUCGAAUCUUUGCCUGGGCUAUGAGAUAUGGAAGUAUAAAUGAUGGGAAGGACCUAUGUAAGUUCAUAUUGAAUAAAUUUGAAUCUAAUGUUGAAAACUAGAA